CUUUGGCCAAGACUUUCAGAUGCUAUGUAUUGAUGCCACUCAGAGUUCUUAACUCAGGGAUAUAAAUCAGGUUGUAGCAUGAAUAAGACUUAGGGUUUUGCCACAAGGAGAUAAGAUUUUCAACAAACACUAUAAACCCUCACUCAACACACAAGUUUGAAAAUACGGCAGGACCGCCCAUGAGGAAGUGUUUUCCAGGCCCAGGUUUUCCACUGUUCCUCCAUUUCUACGUUAUCAGAAACACUUUCCUACCCUAAAUUCAGGCCACUGAUCAAGUCAGCUACGAAGCUUUUAUUCCAAGCCUGCUGGGUAUAAAGGACUGCAUUUUACCCUGGGAAGGCAUUUGAAGUCUUUCCAAACCAACGAUCUGCUUGUCUAGCUGUCAAAGCGUAGACUUCACUGGCACUCUUACCGUAGUCCUGACUCAAGUUUAUGUGCCAGAAAAGGAACUUCUGCCUUUCAAAUUCAACAAGGUCUUCAGACCAUGGCUGUCUUGCACAAUACAGACCUGCUAUUAGAGCAACUAAGGGUAUUUACAGUGUAUUUAAAUAAUGUAGCGCAAAGAAUAGAAAGUUUGAAAGUCUGUCUGGGAGUUGGAGAAUUGACUUCCAUAAAUCUGAGACAUGAAAAAUAUGUUUUUUGUUCAAAUGUUGGAAAGAGUUUUGUCGACCUUUUUGCUUCAUUGGGAUCUCUUUAAGUUUUCCUGGUAACCAGAAACAACUUUCACAGUUUGUGUCGCACUUGGCUCCUGUUUCAGGGAGAGAGGGCAAGCUGGCUGUUGUUUCAGUAAUGCCUGCACAGUGGAGGACGGAGAACUCAGCGCUGAGGACGCCUGCCAGCAGUUAACCCUGCCAAACCAAACGGGAAUCAGUGUGGACAAUAGGAAGAUUAUGUGGUGGAAAAUGGAUACACAGAAUUAAGGCAGGAAAACCACAUCAAUUAUCUUUAGAAGCUGCGUCUUUCCCCCAGGUUACAAAGCCGUCCCUCUAAGCGUUCAGAUGUUGCUAUUCCACCGAAAGCUGUUUCACCAAAAGCUCAUCCACAAAAGGUCAACAGGUGCAGUCGAAACAGAAUGCUUUUACUCUUAUGACUUCCUGUGUGUCCUUGACCUGGCUGCGAGUCUUUCUGCCCCCAUUGUGUCCUUUCAGUCACACUAGCAUCAGGCCUCCAAGUGCCCCCGAGAGAGAGGGGGAUGGAGCCACGCUGCCCGGAGUGGAUGCAGAGGGCUCGGCGGUACCCUCCAGCAGGUGCUCUCUGUGCAAGGCUCCAUGACAGACAUGCUGCUCACCUUCAUCCCUGCUGCCAUCUAGACCUGCAGGGGAAGAGAAAGAAAACAAAACACAAAUCAAACAAGCCAAACACCUGGGUUUUCCAGGCACCAAAGCCGCAAAGCAUACCCCAUGGGGUAAGCUCGUAGCAUGAAUCCUAGCGGCCCAGGCUGGACUCUGGGUAGUCACUGUUGUAAGUUGAAGGCACAGUGGCUUCCCGCCCGUUGCCAGCCAAUGGCCAUGCAUGGUUAUGUCCCCUGGUGAAAAAUACAGUUUCAGCAGCAGGUUGGAGCCUCGGGGAACUGAGUACGGCACGUGCUGUGCGCUGUCCAAGAGCAUGAACGAUUCUUCACUCCCUGUCUCCUCUUUUUCAAAACAGCAAAAUCAAAUGAAUAAUUUUUCUUUGUAACAAUGAAACAAUCCAAAGUACAACAAAUAACAUGACACUCAUGUACUCACCACCAAGAUGUUUAGUUGUUACUAUAAUUGGAAACAGGUCUUGUUUGUUUGUUAAAAAGAAAUAAAAUUUUGAAGAUACAGUAAAGCCCAACCUUCAUCCCUCUCUUUCCCAGAGAGUCCCUCCUGAAGUUGCCACGGAUCAUUCCCAUGUGGCUUUUAGGACUUUUAGCACAUAUAUUUUUAUUUAUAAAUAUAUAUACACAAAUGAUCUUUCAUGUUUUUUAAACUUAUAUAAAUGAUAUAACUUACAUAUCUUUUUAAAUUUACUUUCUGCAUUCAGUGUUUUUGAAAUUUAUCAGUGUGAAUAUUGAU
Long non-coding RNA from Equus asinus (donkey), 2039 nucleotides. The record is from Ensembl. NCBI's taxonomy places the organism in Eukaryota, Metazoa, Chordata, Mammalia, Perissodactyla, Equidae.